GGGGAAUAUUGCACAAUGGGCGCAAGCCUGAUGCAGCGACGCCGCGUGGGGGAUGACGGCCUUCGGGUUGUAAACUCCUUUCGCUAGGGACGAAGCUUUUUGUGACGGUACCUAGAUAAGAAGCACCGGCUAACUACGUGCCAGCAGCCGCGGUAAUACGUAGGGUGCGAGCGUUGUCCGGAAUUACUGGGCGUAAAGGGCUCGUAGGUGGUUUGUCGCGUCGUCUGUGAAAUUCCGGGGCUUAACUCCGGGCGUGCAGGCGAUACGGGCAUAACUUGAGUACUGUAGGGGUAACUGGAAUUCCUGGUGUAGCGGUGAAAUGCGCAGAUAUCAGGAGGAACACCGAUGGCGAAGGCAGGUUACUGGGCAGUUACUGACGCUGAGGAGCGAAAGCAUGGGUAGCGAACAGGAUUAGAUACCCUGGUAGUCCUUGCCGUAAACGGUGGGCGCUAGGUGUGAGGGUCUUUUCACGACUUUCGUGCCGUAGCUAACGCAUUAAGCGCCCCGCCUGGGGAGUACGGCCGCAAGGCUA
This 532-nucleotide ribosomal RNA is filed under the name uncultured bacterium. RNAcentral describes it as "bacterial SSU rRNA". It matches the Rfam family "Bacterial small subunit ribosomal RNA", at positions 356 to 896 of the family's 1533-position model. The record is from RNAcentral.